AUUGAACGCUGGCGGCAUGCCUUACACAUGCAAGUCGAACGGUAACAGGUUAAGCUGACGAGUGGCGAACGGGUGAGUAAUAUAUCGGAACGUGCCCAGUCGUGGGGGAUAACGUAGCGAAAGCUACGCUAAUACUGCAUACGAUCUACGGAUGAAAGCGGGGGAUCGCAAGACCUCGCGCGAUUGGAGCGGCCGAUAUCAGAUUAGGUUGUUGGUGAGGUAUAAGCUCACCAAGCCUGCGAUCUGUAGCUGGUCUGAGAGGACGACCAGCCACACUGGAACUGAGACACGGUCCAGACUCCUACGAGAGGCAGCAGUGGGGAAUUUUGGACAAUGGACGCAAGUCUGAUCCAGCAAUGCCGCGUGCAGGACGAAGGCCUUCGGGUUGUAAACUGCUUUUGUACGGAACGAAACGGUGAGCUCUAAUACAGUCUGCUAAUGACGGUACCGUAAGAAUAAGCACCGGCUAACUACGUGCCAGCAGCCGCCGUAA
RNAcentral lists this ribosomal RNA (493 nucleotides) under uncultured bacterium. Its description in RNAcentral is "partial 16S ribosomal RNA". It matches the Rfam family "Bacterial small subunit ribosomal RNA", at positions 30 to 523 of the family's 1533-position model. The record is from RNAcentral.